CGGACACCUCUGAAACAAAGACAGAUUAACAAGAGAAAAGCCCAGCAAAUAUAUUCGACCACAGCUUCACAGUACACAGGAGCCUUCGGAAUGAAGACCCAAAGCCUCUCAGGUCUCAGGAGCCAAGCCAAGGACUCACCUCAGGACUGUACUUACACAAACAACUGUUUUGCCUUCAAACUAGAACACUCGCAGUUGCCAAAUUUUGGAGGGAUCAGGUAGGGACAAAGGCCCCACAAAGGGGGUGCCCUGUUUACUCAGCCCACAGCUCUCAGCUGCUCACAGGAGGG
This is a long non-coding RNA of Gorilla gorilla gorilla (western lowland gorilla), 290 nucleotides long. RefSeq lists it as uncharacterized. NCBI's taxonomy places the organism in Eukaryota, Metazoa, Chordata, Mammalia, Primates, Hominidae. The record is from RefSeq and is a predicted model, not a curated record. The transcript is spliced from 3 exons.